RNAcentral lists this ribosomal RNA (301 nucleotides) under uncultured bacterium. Its description in RNAcentral is "partial 16S ribosomal RNA". It matches the Rfam family "Bacterial small subunit ribosomal RNA", at positions 509 to 809 of the family's 1533-position model. The record is from RNAcentral.
CAGCAGCCGCGGGAAUACGAAGGGUGCAAGCGUUACUCGGAAUUACUGGGCGUAAAGCGUGCGUAGGUGGUGGUUUAAGUCCGUUGUGAAAGCCCUGGGCUCAACCUGGGAAUUGCAGUGGAUACUGGGUCACUAGAGUGUGGUAGAGGAUAGUGGAAUUUCCGGUGUAGCAGUGAAAUGCGUAGAGAUCGGAAGGAACAUCUGUGGCGAAGGCGACUAUCUGGGCCAACACUGACACUGAGGCACGAAAGCGUGGGGAGCAAACAGGAUUAGAUACCCCUGUAGUCCCUGUCUCUUAUAU